AUUGAACGCUGGCGGCAGGCCUAACACAUGCAAGUCGAGCGGAUGAAGGGAGCUUGCUCCUGGAUUCAGCGGCGGACGGGUGAGUAAUGCCUAGGAAUCUGCCUGGUAGUGGGGGAUAACGUCCGGAAACGGGCGCUAAUACCGCAUACGUCCUGAGGGAGAAAGUGGGGGAUCUUCGGACCUCACGCAAUCAGAUGAGCCUAGGUCGGAUUAGCUAGUUGGUGGGGUAAAAGCCUACCAAGGCGACGAUCCGUAACUGGUCUGAGAGGAGGAUCAGUCAGAAGGGGACGGAGAGACGGGCCAGACUCCUACGGGAGGAAGAAGUGGGGAAGAUGAGAGAAGGGGAGAAAGACGGAUAAAGCAAUGCCGCGGUAGUGAUGAAGGCCUUAGGGUUGGAAAGCUCGUUGACCCGGGAUGAGAAGGAAAGGACCGGGAGAAUAAGCGCGGGCUAACCCCGUG
RNAcentral lists this ribosomal RNA (459 nucleotides) under uncultured bacterium. Its description in RNAcentral is "partial 16S ribosomal RNA". It matches the Rfam family "Bacterial small subunit ribosomal RNA", at positions 29 to 507 of the family's 1533-position model. The record is from RNAcentral.